Molecule: ribosomal RNA, 633 nt
Filed under: uncultured Lachnospiraceae bacterium
Lineage: Bacteria; Bacillati; Bacillota; Clostridia; Lachnospirales; Lachnospiraceae
Description: bacterial SSU rRNA
Rfam family: Bacterial small subunit ribosomal RNA
Source: RNAcentral
GAUCUCUUCGGAUUGAAGUUUUUGGUGACUGAGUGGCGGACGGGUGAGUAACGCGUGGGUAACCUGCCUCAUACAGGGGGAUAACAGUUAGAAAUGACUGCUAAUACCGCAUAAGCGCACAGUGUCGCAUGACACGGUGUGAAAAACUCCGGUGGUAUGAGAUGGACCCGCGUCUGAUUAGCUAGUUGGCGGGGUAACGGCCCACCAAGGCGACGAUCAGUAGCCGACCUGAGAGGGUGAUCGGCCACAUUGGGACUGAGACACGGCCCAAACUCCUACGGGAGGCAGCAGUGGGGAAUAUUGCACAAUGGGGGAAACCCUGAUGCAGCGACGCCGCGUGAAGGACGACGUAUUUCGGUAUGUAAACUUCUAUCAGCAAGGAAGAUGAUGACGGUACUUGACUAAGAAGCCCCGGCUAACUACGUGCCAGCAGCCGCGGUAAUACGUAGGGGGCAAGCGUUAUCCGGAUUUACUGGGUGUAAAGGGAGCGUAGGCGGCCAUGCAAGUCAGAAGUGAAAGCCCGGGGCUCAACCCCGGGACUGCUUUUGAAACUGUAAGGCUAGAUUGCCGGAGAGGUAAGCGGAAUUCCUAGUGUAGCGGUGAAAUGCGUAGAUAUUAGGAGGAACACCAGUG